RNAcentral lists this ribosomal RNA (495 nucleotides) under uncultured bacterium. Its description in RNAcentral is "bacterial SSU rRNA". It matches the Rfam family "Bacterial small subunit ribosomal RNA", at positions 28 to 517 of the family's 1533-position model. The record is from RNAcentral.
GAUGAACGCUAGCGGCAGGCUUAAUACAUGCAAGUCGAGGGGCAGCGCGGGUAGCAAUACCUGGCGGCGACCGGCAAACGGGUGCGGAACACGUACGCAACCUUCCCAAAACUGGUGAAUAGCCCUCCGAAAGGAGGAUUAAUACACCGUACCAUAACGAAGAGGCAUCUCUUUGUUAUUAUAGUAGCAAUACGGUUUUGGAUGGGCGUGCGCCUGAUUAGGUAGUUGGCGGGGUAACGGCCCACCAAGCCUGCGAUCAGUAACUGGUGUGAGAGCACGACCAGUCACACGGGCACUGAGACACGGGCCCGACUCCUACGGGAGGCAGCAGUAAGGAAUAUUGGUCAAUGGACGCAAGUCUGAACCAGCCAUGCCGCGUGAAGGAUGACGGCCCUCUGGGUUGUAAACUUCUUUUAUCUGGGACGAAAAAGGGCGUUCUAGCUCACUUGACGGUACCAGAGGAAUAAGCACCGGCUAACUCCGUGCCAGCAGCCG